CUCUGAGUGACUUGCCCAUGCACCAGUCACAAUGAAGGAAAGUGCCCGGGACGGAGGGCGGAGGCGGGAGGAGAGGCAUAGGUGGAGCAGAGAGGGCUGCUGAUUGGACGGGUCCUCUUGGGCUCCGACCAAUAAAAAGAACACGAGCGUGAGCCUCCCCGCGGGAGCGAGAGUCCUCGGACUACACCUAGGGGAACCAGACUCUACUCUCACUGGCUCUUGCCAAAGAGAUCCUGCCCAGGAAUUAAAACCCCUGGAGGAAGGACGAGCUGAUUUUCUCCUGGACUCUCAUUUGAAAAACUUAACGUGUUUGGAGUCACUUUACAUUCUGGACCCUGGGAGCUUUGGGCAUGUGGCUUAAUGACAACUGCAAGAUCUAAGCGUUGAAGACACAGUGUGAAUUCUGACCACCAUCACCUCCACUGGCUUUGGCCUCAGCCUUUUCCUGAUAUGGAAAGUUUGGAUUCAGAGGAAGAGCAGAAGAAAACAGCCUAGGAAGGGGCAGGUCCCAGAAGAGCUCACUAAAUCUAGAUGAGGUGAGUGAGGCAUAGAGAGGAACCCAACCUCAGAC
This 571-nucleotide long non-coding RNA is filed under the name Heterocephalus glaber (naked mole-rat). Its description in RNAcentral is "lncRNA (ENSHGLG00000046313.1)". The record is from RNAcentral. Lineage: Eukaryota; Metazoa; Chordata; Mammalia; Rodentia; Bathyergidae.